Molecule: unclassified non-coding RNA, 250 nt
Filed under: plant metagenome
Description: partial contains small subunit ribosomal RNA, internal transcribed spacer 1, and 5.8S ribosomal RNA
Source: RNAcentral
GUAGGUGAACCUGCGGAAGGAUCAUUAUCGUGGGGCUUCGGCUCUAACGAGAUAGCACCCUUGCCUUUUUAGUACCUUCUGUUGCCUCGGCGUCUGCCUCACGGCGGCGCCAACGGGGCCAAACAAAUAAACUCUUUUAUCAUGAACUAGUCUGAAGCAAAAACAAAAGUUAAAACUUUCAACAACGGAUCUCUUGGUUCUGGCAUCGAUGAAGAACGCAGCAUCUGACUGACUCGACAGCUGACAAUCU